GACAGAGGCCACAAGCGUUAGGCGGAAUCACUGGGCUUAAAGCGUGUGUAGGCGGAUGACUAAGUGCUUUGUGAAAUCCCACGGCUCAACCGUGGAAUUGCUUGGCAUACUGGUUGUCUUGAGCCAUUCAGGGGCAGCUGGAACAAACGGUGGAGCGGUGAAAUGCGUAGAUAUCGUUUGGAACGCCAAAGGCGAAAGCAGGCUGCUGGGAAUGCGCUGACGCUGAGACACGAAAGCCAGGGGAGCAAACGGG
Molecule: ribosomal RNA, 253 nt
Filed under: uncultured prokaryote
Description: partial 16S ribosomal RNA
Rfam family: Bacterial small subunit ribosomal RNA
Source: RNAcentral